GCGGGCGUGGCGGAACUGGUAUACGCGCAGGACUUAAAAUCCUGUGUCUAAGUGACAUGUGGGUUCGAGUCCCACCGCCCGCACCA
Molecule: transfer RNA, 86 nt
Filed under: Pseudomonadota bacterium
Lineage: Bacteria; Pseudomonadati; Pseudomonadota
Also listed under: 2 other names
Description: tRNA-Leu
Rfam family: tRNA
About the family: Transfer RNA (tRNA) molecules are approximately 80 nucleotides in length.
Source: RNAcentral